AUCGCUUCUCGGCCUUUGGUUCAGAUCAAGUGUAGUAUCUGUUUUUAUCAGUUUUUUUUAAUCUGUCUCAUCCCCUAUCCAGGGACCAAAUAUUAAAUGGAUUUUUGGGAACGGGGGCAGAUUUCGAAGCUGGCUUUGUCACCUUGUGCUUUCACCCGAUUUGACAGUUUCUUUUGGUAUGGCGUACCAAGA
Molecule: small nuclear RNA, 192 nt
Organism: Hyla sarda
Lineage: Eukaryota; Metazoa; Chordata; Amphibia; Anura; Hylidae
Product: U2 spliceosomal RNA
Exons: 1
Source: RefSeq, a predicted model, not a curated record